CAGAUAAUCAUAAAAUUGUCAUCAGAGC
This 28-nucleotide small RNA is filed under the name Bombyx mori (domestic silkworm). RNAcentral describes it as "ovarian small RNA-13141". Lineage: Eukaryota; Metazoa; Arthropoda; Insecta; Lepidoptera; Bombycidae. The record is from RNAcentral.